CUGUAAGUAAGUGCCAGGCACAUUGGUAAGGUCAGAGGUGUGCAAAUGAUUACAUCAUUUCUUAUUACUAGCAUCCUAGGAUAGAGAGAGGUCUGUGCUCAGGCAGUGGACAUGGAUUCUAACUGUUACUAUGCUGCUUGAUAUCACAGAACCCUGGGCCACUGAAUUCAUCCUCAGGUUCUUAGGUUCCUUAUCUGUUACAUUAGAAGGUCAGGCUAAAUCAGGAGUGGCAAGCAAUUAGCAUGGCCCCCAUUCUCCAAACUCACACUCUUGGUAGAUAUUUCUAACGCAUCACGGCUCUCUUUCUGCUGAGAUGAGAUCUACCAAUUGGAGUUGGCACCCUAGAAGAAAGGUAUUUGUCAUUACAGAUCACAGAGUACUUGGAGAGGCAUAAUAGACUAUUAGAAAGAGCAUAGGCCUUGGAGACAGGCAAACCUGGAUUAAAAUUUUCAGUGCCAUUUACUGAGCUGUGUAAAUUCAGACAAAUGAAUUAACCUCUCUGAGCUUCAGUUCUUUCAUCUGUAAAACAGAUACGAUUCUUCCUACCUCAGCAGUUUGAAUGUCGCCUCCAAAAUUCAGGUGUUGCAAUUUUGCUAGUAUUAACAGGUGCAUUUAAUUACACUCAGAUUAAAAAAGGUAUUAAGAAGUGGGGCCUGUAAGAGGUGAUUAGGCCAUGAGGGACACCUUCUUCUUUAAUGGGACUAAAUCCCUUAUUAAGGAGGCUUCACAAAGCAUUUGGCUAGCUUGCGCUUCUGCUUUCUGCCAUGUAAGGUCCUAUCAAGAAGGCCCUCACCAGACCAAGUGCCGGCACCUCGAUCUUGAACUUCAUAGCUUCCAGAACUGGCUCAUGUGGUUACGCUGGAGCUGCCCAGAUAAUCCUAGAGAUGAAUGGGUUUCUUCUUUGGAGAAAAGCCAAACCCACCUCCAAAUCCCAAGAAGACUUGUAAUUUCUAUAUAUUUAGACUCUGCUGAUUGUUUAUUUGCUUCUCCAGUCAAUUUGUAUCAGGUGCAGUUGCUGUGUUGA
RNAcentral lists this long non-coding RNA (1024 nucleotides) under Papio anubis (olive baboon). RNAcentral's name for it is "lncRNA (ENSPANG00000050513.1)". Lineage: Eukaryota; Metazoa; Chordata; Mammalia; Primates; Cercopithecidae. The record is from RNAcentral.